RNAcentral lists this non-coding RNA (166 nucleotides) under pig gut metagenome. RNAcentral's name for it is "Lysine riboswitch". It matches the Rfam family "Lysine riboswitch aptamer". Rfam says of the family: Riboswitches are metabolite binding domains within certain messenger RNAs that serve as precision sensors for their corresponding targets. Allosteric rearrangement of mRNA structure is mediated by ligand binding, and this results in modulation of gene expression. The record is from RNAcentral.
GUGAGUAGAGGUGCAAUGUUUAAGAGUAGCAUAGGUGAUAACUUAGAUUAGAUGAAGCUAUGUGAAAGGAAAGAUUGCCGAAGGAUGAUAAUUGUCUAAGAAUUUGUUGUCCUGGUUAUGCAGUUAAUAGCUGUAUGACUGUCAUCGUGAGAUGGAGCGCUACUGA